UCGAACGAGCGAGAGAGAGCUUGCUUUCUCAAGCGAGUGGCGAACCGGUGAGUAACGCGUGAGGAACCUGCCUCAAAGAGGGGGACAACAGUUGGAAACGACUGCUAAUACCGCAUAAGCCCACGACUCGGCAUCGGGUAGAGGGAAAAGGAGCAAUCCGCUUUGAGAUGGCCUCGCGUCCGAUUAGCUAGUUGGUGAGGUAAUGGCCCACCAAGGCGACGAUCGGUAGCCGGACUGAGAGGUUGAACGGCCACAUUGGGACUGAGACACGGCCCAGACUCCUACGGGAGGCAGCAGUGGGGAAUAUUGCACAAUGGGGGAAACCCUGAUGCAGCGACGCCGCGUGGAGGAAGAAGGUCUUCGGAUUGUAAACUCCUGUUGUUGAGGAAGAUAAUGACGGUACUCAACAAGGAAGUGACGGCUAACUACGUGCCAGCAGCCGCGGUAAAACGUAGGUCACAAGCGUUGUCCGGAAUUACUGGGUGUAAAGGGAGCGCAGGCGGGAAGACAAGUCGGAAGUGAAAUCCAUGGGCUCAACCCAUGAACUACUUUCAAAACUGUUUUUCUUGAGUAGUGCAGAGGUAGGCGGAAUUCCCGGUGUAGCGGUGGAAUGCGUAGAUAUCGGGAGGAACACCAGUGGCGAAGGCGGCCUACUGGGCACCAACUGACGCUGAGGCUCGAAAGUGUGGGUAGCAAACAGGAUUAGAUACCCUGGUAGUCCACACUGUAAACGAUGAUUACUAGGUGUUGGAGGAUUGACCCCUUCAGUGCCGCAGUUAACACAAUAAGUAAUCCACCUGGGGAGUACGACCGCAAGGUUGAAACUCGAAGGAAUUGACGGGGGCCCGCACAAG
RNAcentral lists this ribosomal RNA (854 nucleotides) under uncultured bacterium. RNAcentral describes it as "bacterial SSU rRNA". It matches the Rfam family "Bacterial small subunit ribosomal RNA", at positions 62 to 929 of the family's 1533-position model. The record is from RNAcentral.